ACAGAACGAAAAGCCCCCCGCUGGGGGUGGGGGAAGGCUCAGAAGCUCCAAGGUUUCAUGUAGGGCUCCCCAGGCCAAGCUUUGAGGGAAGAUGGGGAGCUUAGAUAUAGUUUUGUCCAGCUUUCACGAUACAAAUGACCAACUUGAGUCUGGAGAGACAGAGAGGUGGAGCUUGGCCUGGAUCCAGGAGAUGAGUUCGGCCUAGCGCUCUGCAGUGGGCCCACCACCCCUGAUACCUAGACGUGUGGUCACCUUGGCGGUGGGGAGGAGGGGCUUGGUCCUGGCAACCCCUCUCAUCCAAUAGCAAGAGAGGGGCUGAUUCAAUGGUUUGAGGGGGCAGGAGCAGUGACACAGCCUGGAGACCCAGCUCUGUCACUCAACUCUACAUAGCCUUCACCCAGAGCCUGACAGUGUAUAUGAACAAGAGGCUGUGCCUGGUGAGUGCUUCUGCCACUUUCUCCAGGAUGACAGCUGUGGACUCCUGCCACAUCCAACACCCCCUUGCUGCUCCCCACCGCCCUCCUUGGCACCCAGGUGGCUGAUCUCCUAUGGUCUUGCUGGCUUCUCUACCUUGUAUGCUGAGGGCGGGCCCAGCCUGCCCCAGCUCAGGGUCUGCACAUAGUAGGUGCUUGCAUGUUGCCUGCUAAACUGACAGCCCUGUAACCAUGUCAGCACAAAGCAACCAGCAUUUUGGGUGCAUCUGCAGUUAAAAUAAACCACUGAGGUCAUGGGUCUGUUCUCUCUGCAAAAACAAAAAUACCCCACUAGCCAUAUCUGAUGAGAACCAUAGCAAAAGAUCAGAAUGUAAUGGCUUCAUCCAGAAGCAAAGCAUGAGGUUCCAAACCAUGUCCCUGACCUGAAGGGGCACCUGCCCAGGCCCAGGGGUGCCAACUCCUAGAGGCAGCUGGCAUGUGACUACUGUGCCCAGUAGAGAAAGGCAGACACUCAGUCCCCAGAGCCCAGAGCCCCGAGGGAAUUAUGGAACAUCCUCCAUAUUUGAUUCAAAAUAAAAACCACAGUAAACCAUAGACCCAAAACUUAUACGUCGGCUGAAAUUAAAAUAGCUUCUUGCUACGUUUUCUGGUUUCAAUAUUCUGGAUAAACUCAUGGAAGCUGAAUCAG
Homo sapiens (human) is the source of this 1122-nucleotide long non-coding RNA. Ensembl annotates it as PSD2 antisense RNA 1. Its record names the gene PSD2-AS1. The record is from Ensembl. NCBI's taxonomy places the organism in Eukaryota, Metazoa, Chordata, Mammalia, Primates, Hominidae.